CCUACGGGAUGCAGCAGGGAUGAAUAUUGGACAAUGGGCGCAAGCCUGAUCCAGCCAUGCCGCGUGCAGGAAGACGGUCCUAUGGAUUGUAAACUGCUUUUAUACAGGAAGAAACACCUCUACGUGUAGAGACUUGACGGUACUGUAUGAAUAAGCAUCGGCUAACUCCGUGCCAGCAGCCGCGGUAAUACGGAGGAUGCAAGCGUUAUCCGGAAUCAUUGGGUUUAAAGGGUCCGUAGGCGGUUUAAUAAGUCAGUGGUGAAAGCCCAUCGCUCAACGAUGGAACGGCCAUUGAUACUGUUAAACUUGAAUUAUUAGGAAGUAACUAGAAUAUGUAGUGUAGCGGUGAAAUGCUUAGAGAUUACAUGGAAUACCAAUUGCGAAGGCAGGUUACUACUAAUAUAUUGACGCUGAUGGACGAAAGCGUGGGGAGCGAACAGGAUUAGAUACCCUGGUAGUCCACGCCGUAAACGAUGAUACUAGCUGUCGUAGACAUAUGNGNGNGUAGACGAAGUAGAGUAAGUAUACCACCGUCGGAGGUACGUUCGUACGAGAAGAGAAACGUAACGAAAGUAAGUAAGUUAGUACGGACGUAGAGACGUUACGACCGACGGACGACCGACGACGGGGAGGGAGGAG
RNAcentral lists this ribosomal RNA (639 nucleotides) under uncultured bacterium. Its description in RNAcentral is "bacterial SSU rRNA". The stretch from base 1 to 532 matches the Rfam family "Bacterial small subunit ribosomal RNA", at positions 338 to 873 of the family's 1533-position model. The record is from RNAcentral.